GACGAACGCUGGCGGCGUGCCUAAUACAUGCAAGUAGAACGCUGAAGGAGGAGCUUGCUUCUCUGGAUGAGUUGCGAACGGGUGAGUAACGCGUAGGUAACCUGCCUGGUAGCGGGGGAUAACUAUUGGAAACGAUAGCUAAUACCGCAUAAGAGUGGAUGUUGCAUGACAUUUGCUUAAAAGGUGCACUUGCAUCACUACCAGAUGGACCUGCGUUGUAUUAGCUAGUUGGUGGGGUAACGGCUCACCAAGGCGACGAUACAUAGCCGACCUGAGAGGGUGAUCGGCCACACUGGGACUGAGACACGGCCCAGACUCCUACGGGAGGCAGCA
This 333-nucleotide ribosomal RNA is filed under the name Streptococcus pneumoniae. RNAcentral's name for it is "bacterial SSU rRNA". It matches the Rfam family "Bacterial small subunit ribosomal RNA", at positions 28 to 353 of the family's 1533-position model. Lineage: Bacteria; Bacillati; Bacillota; Bacilli; Lactobacillales; Streptococcaceae. The record is from RNAcentral.